This is a non-coding RNA of Macaca mulatta (Rhesus monkey), 1386 nucleotides long. The record is from RefSeq and is a predicted model, not a curated record. NCBI's taxonomy places the organism in Eukaryota, Metazoa, Chordata, Mammalia, Primates, Cercopithecidae.
GUUUCUGUUUCUGAACUAUUAUGGAUGGAAUUGUGUCCCUGAAAAAUUCCUAGGUCAGCGUCCUAAUCCUCCAGCACCUCGGAAUGUGACCUUAUUUGGGAAUCAAGUUAAAAUGAGAUCAUGAGGAAGGGCCUGAAUCCAGUAUGACCCGUGUCAUUAUAAGAAGGAGAAAUUUUGAGAUGGACACACACGUAGGACAACAUCAUGGGAAGAUGAAGGCAGAGAUUGGGGCAAUACUUCUAUUAGGUUGUUGGAGAAGUUAUCACAGUUUUUCUUUUGAAAGUAAUGGCAGACAUCACAAUUAUUUUCAUUACUUUUGCACCAACUUAAUAUAGCUAAGGAAUGCAAAAGAUUGCCAGCAAAUGACCAGAAGCGAGAGGGGAGGCAUGGAACAGAUCUUCUCUCACAGCCUCAGAAGGAACCAGCCCUAGUGACACCUCGAUCUUGGACUUCUAGACUCCAGACUGGAAAGAAGAUGGAACUGUUCAACCAGGCUCCUUCUCCCAAAAUGUAGAACUAGUUCAUGGAAAAAUACAAAAAGCGUGAGUUAAGGAAGGCGCCUUUUUAAGCAAAGGCAGACAGAUGGAGUGGCUGAUGUACAGACAGACUUUGGAUACAUCAAUUAACCAGAGCCAUUCAUUCUAGCAGCUCUAAGCCUUUGUCCUUGUGGAAAGUGGGACUGCUUUCUGAGGCUAAAGCAAAUAAAUUGGAUGGAUUAAUCCCUGAAUUGGAGGCCCAGGAAAUAAAGAAGUCAAUAAAGGAGAGCUUAGGGUACAUUACUAUUUAGUACCCCCUCACAAACUUUUUAAAAGCCAACUUGGAAUUUUGGUGAGUUAUUCACCCCUACUGCUCUUCUGCUUCUGAUAUCUUAAAAUUAAUAACAAACAAAAACAGAUAUAGAAGCUAAAAUAAUUUCACAUUAUUCAUGCAUGUAUUUAUUGCUGCCUUCACUUAUAAUUGCCACACACCUAUUGUGUUUCUGGCCCAGAUGGAAGAAACUGAAAUUAUACUUUAUGUGCUGUUUCAUUUUAACAUUCUCAAAAUCUCACUAAAAAUGGGAUCCGUUAGAAUAAUUCAAGAACAAAAAUAUCAGCAGAACCAAAGGAAGCUCAAAGAUGCUGCACCAAUGGAGUUAGCACACUCAAUUCAGUUCAAUUCAAUUUAUAAAAAUAAAGUUGGAAGGGUUCUUAAAUAACUUUAACCUUAAAUAACAACAUUCAGCUUUUAAUCCAGUUUGAGUGUUUGUCGAGGAAUCCUGCCAUAUAAACGUUUGACUCUGUAAUUGGUAGUUGGGAAGAUUAGAAAGAGAGUGAAUCUUGGGUACCUAUUUUCUGAAUUGGGUGAAUGAAUGAAAGAAUAACUGAAAGAAUAAAUAUUGUUGAUAAA